This is a long non-coding RNA of Oncorhynchus tshawytscha (Chinook salmon), 368 nucleotides long. NCBI's taxonomy places the organism in Eukaryota, Metazoa, Chordata, Actinopteri, Salmoniformes, Salmonidae. The record is from Ensembl.
UGAAUGUGUGUUAGAGAGAUGGUAUGAAGGUGUGUUAGAGAGAAGAGAGAUGGUAUGAAUGUGUCAGAGAGAAGAGAGAUGGUAUGGAUGUGUCAGAGAGAAGAGAGAUGGUAUGAAUGUGUGUUAGAGAGAUGGUAUGAAUGUGUCAGAGAGAAGAGAGAUGGUAUGAAUGUGUCAGAGAGAAGAGAGAUGGUAUGGAUGUGUCAGAGAGAAGAGAGAUGGUAUGAAUGUGUGUUAGAGAGAUGGUAUGAAUGUGUGUCAGAGAGAAGAGAGAUGGUAUGAAGGUGUGUUAGAGAGAAGAGAGAUGGUAUGAAGGUGUGUUAGAGAGAAGAGAGAUGGUAUGAAUGUGUGUUAGAGAGAAGAGAGAU